This is a non-coding RNA of Pocillopora verrucosa, 248 nucleotides long. The record is from RefSeq and is a predicted model, not a curated record. Lineage: Eukaryota; Metazoa; Cnidaria; Anthozoa; Scleractinia; Pocilloporidae.
GAAUAAAUGCGCGUUCAUAAUUCAACGGGCUUGGCGUCGACUAAAGUUAAAAAGACUUGAACUUCAGAUUGAGGCCGUCAAAUUAAUACAGAGAGCUUGGAGAAAGCAUCGAAGAACGAGGAGGAAUGAAUGCGCGUCCAUAAUUCAACGGGCUUGGCGUCGACUAAAGUUAAGAAGACUUGAAUUUCAGAACAAGGCUGUCAAAUUAAUACAGAGAGCUUGGAGAAAGCAUCGAAGAACGAGGAGGG